UACGUAGGGCGCAAGCGUUGUCCGGAAUUAUUGGGCGUAAAGAGCUCGUAGGCGGUCUGUCGCGUCUGCUGUGAAAACCUAGGGCUUAACUCUGGGCGUGCAGUGGGUACGGGCAGGCUAGAGUGCGGUAGGGGAGACUGGAAUUCCUGGUGUAGCGGUGAAAUGCGUAGAUAUCAGGAGGAACACCGGUGGCGAAGGCGCUCAUCUGGCCCAAUACUGACGCUGAUGCGCGAAAGCUAGGGUAGCGAACGGG
This 253-nucleotide ribosomal RNA is filed under the name uncultured bacterium. RNAcentral's name for it is "partial 16S ribosomal RNA". It matches the Rfam family "Bacterial small subunit ribosomal RNA", at positions 524 to 776 of the family's 1533-position model. The record is from RNAcentral.